Molecule: long non-coding RNA, 429 nt
Organism: Cervus elaphus (red deer)
Lineage: Eukaryota; Metazoa; Chordata; Mammalia; Artiodactyla; Cervidae
Exons: 4
Source: RefSeq, a predicted model, not a curated record
CAACAUUGGAAAUCCGACAGCCAGGGAUGUGAGCGUGUAUCUGGGAAACCGAGGCCGGGUAGCUGGGUGAGAGCGCCUGCUCGCUCCACGUGUACUCCUCAGUGACGCUGGGGGUGUGUUCUGGACACAGCAGGGGAGAGCGCACAUUCCGGCAGGAGACAGACUGUAAACCGUGGACACAGAAGGGAUGGAGGUCUCUCCUUGUUUUUCAGGCCAGGUGCGAGGCUCCAGGAGGGCCCCCGAUGAUGCCCACACAGCGUGAAGUGGCAGAGGUAGGACCUGAACAGGUCCGUGUGUGCCCCAUGCAGGACCACCUUCCGCCUGACCUCCGUCCAUCUGCCGCGUCAACACGAUGUAGGAGGAGCCCCCAGCUCUGCUAGCCGGUCCCGAGCUCCCAAGGACGCAGCUCGCUCUGCCCAAAACACUGGC